This 88-nucleotide non-coding RNA is filed under the name uncultured Dysosmobacter sp. RNAcentral's name for it is "TPP riboswitch (THI element)". It matches the Rfam family "TPP riboswitch aptamer (THI element)", at positions 9 to 90 of the family's 105-position model. Rfam says of the family: Vitamin B(1) in its active form thiamin pyrophosphate (TPP) is an essential coenzyme that is synthesised by coupling of pyrimidine and thiazole moieties in bacteria. The previously detected thiamin-regulatory element, thi box was extended, resulting in a new, highly conserved RNA secondary structure, the THI element, which is widely distributed in eubacteria and also occurs in some archaea. The record is from RNAcentral. Lineage: Bacteria; Bacillati; Bacillota; Clostridia; Eubacteriales; Oscillospiraceae.
UGAGCUGGGGAGCUUGUAAAACAGGCUGAGAGGGAGCUUUUAGCUUCGACCCGUGUACCUGAUGCGGAUAAUGCCGCCGUAGGGAGCC